This 222-nucleotide unclassified non-coding RNA is filed under the name uncultured fungus. RNAcentral's name for it is "sequence contains ITS1, 5.8S rRNA gene". The stretch from base 174 to 222 matches the Rfam family "5.8S ribosomal RNA", at positions 1 to 49 of the family's 154-position model. The record is from RNAcentral. Lineage: Eukaryota; Fungi.
UUUCCGUAGGUGAACCUGCGGAAGGAUCAUUACCUAGAGUUGUAGGCUUUGCCUGCUAUCUCUUACCGAUGUCUUUUGAGUACCUUCGUUUCCUCGGUGGGUUCGCCCGCCGAUUGGACAAAACUUAAACCCUUUGUAGUUGCAAUCAGCGUCUGAAAAAACUUAAUAGUUACAACUUUCAACAACGGAUCUCUUGGCUCCCACAUCGAUGAAGAACGCAGC